GACGAACGCUGGCGGCGUGCCUAAUACAUGCAAGUUGAGCGCUGAAGGUUGGUACUUGUACCAACUGGAUGAGCAGCGAACGGGUGAGUACCGCGUGGGGAAUCUGCCUUUGAGCGGGGGACAACAUUUGGAAACGAAUGCUAAUACCGCAUAAAAACUUUAAACACAAGUUUUAAGUUUGAAAGAUGCAAUUGCAUCACUCAAAGAUGAUCCCGCGUUGUAUUAGCUAGUUGGUGAGGUAAAGGCUCACCAAGGCGAUGAUACAUAGCCGACCUGAGAGGGGGAUCCGCCACAUUGGGACUGAGACACGGCCCAAACUCCUACGGGAGGCAGCAGUAGGGAAUCUUCGGCAAUGGACGAAAGUCUGACCGAGCAACGCCGCGUGAGUGAAGAAGGGUUUCGGAUCGUAAAACUCUGUUGGUAGAGAAGAACGUUGGUGAGAGUGGAAAGCUCAUCAAGUGACGGUAACUACCCAGAAAGGGACGGCUAACUACGUG
RNAcentral lists this ribosomal RNA (497 nucleotides) under uncultured bacterium. Its description in RNAcentral is "partial 16S ribosomal RNA". It matches the Rfam family "Bacterial small subunit ribosomal RNA", at positions 28 to 507 of the family's 1533-position model. The record is from RNAcentral.